AUGUUUUCCCACAUUUUGGUAAUGGCCGCAUAAUUUUCCACUUGGAAUUAUUCCUGCCCACCUCUCCUGUCCCCCAAUGCUCUUUUUUCAAUACCUCUGGGAGAGGCAUGUCAUCUGGUUCUGGUCAAGCAGAAUGAUCUUUGACCACACGGACUGCCUCAUUCUGCCAGACUGAAAGCUGGUGGAACUCCGGCUGUCGAUCCUGAAGCCAUCAUAUGGACAGAGCUGCCUAGGAGGGAAGCUAACCAAAGGGAAGAGACGGAAUAGUGAUGCCAGCAUUUGUGAGCCUGUAGUCAGUCACUGUCCCCCCACAAUGUGCAUGAGUAAAUUCACCUUUAGAAAUUCAAAUGUGAGAAAGAAGCUCCCCUUCAGAUGAUAUUUAGUAUGUGAAAUGACUGAAUUUUAUUAAAAAUUUACAUCCUCAGACCUCUUCAGUAGCCUCAACUUGUGAACAGAUAGAACAAAAAUAGAAAUCAUCACAGUCACUUAAACUUUAAAUGGCACAGUAAGUAUCUGAAAUUAUUUGGAUACAAAAAUUAAGUUUGUUGGACAUUUCAAUGCCAUUAUCAAGUCUUAAUCUUAUUUCAUUGU
This is a long non-coding RNA of Lutra lutra (Eurasian river otter), 591 nucleotides long. RefSeq lists it as uncharacterized. The transcript is spliced from 2 exons. NCBI's taxonomy places the organism in Eukaryota, Metazoa, Chordata, Mammalia, Carnivora, Mustelidae. The record is from RefSeq and is a predicted model, not a curated record.